CAAUAGCGUAUAUUAAAGUUGUUGCGGUUAAAAAGCUCGUAGUUGGAUUUCUGCUGAGGAUGACCGGUCCGCCCUGUGGGUGUGCAUCUGGCUCAGCCUUGGCAUCUUCCUGAAGAACGUAGCUGCACUUGACUGUGUGGUGCGGUAUUUAGGACAUUUACUUUGAGGAAAUUAGAGUGUUUCAAGCAAGCGCACGCUUUGAAUACAUUAGCAUGGAAUAAUAAGAUAGGACCUUGGUUCUAUUUUGUUGGUUUCUAGAGCUGAGGUAAUGAUUGAUAGGGAUAGUUGGGGGCAUUCGUAUUUAACUGUCAGAGGUGAAAUUCUUGGAUUUGUUAAGGACGGACUACUGCGAAAGCAUUUGCCAAGGAUGUUUUCAUUGA
This 380-nucleotide ribosomal RNA is filed under the name uncultured eukaryote. RNAcentral describes it as "partial 18S ribosomal RNA". It matches the Rfam family "Eukaryotic small subunit ribosomal RNA", at positions 592 to 976 of the family's 1831-position model. The record is from RNAcentral.